GGAAUUUUCCGCAAUGGGCGAAAGCCUGACGGAGCAACGCCGCGUGAGGGAUGAAGGCCUCUGGGCUGUAAACCUCUUUUAUCAAGGAAGAAGAUCUGACGGUACUUGAUGAAUAAGCCACGGCUAAUUCCGUGCCAGCAGCCGCGGUAAUACGGGAGUGGCAAGCGUUAUCCGGAAUUAUUGGGCGUAAAGCGUCCGCAGGCGGUCUGUCAAGUCUGCUGUUAAAGCGUGGAGCUUAACUCCAUUUCGGCAGUGGAAACUGACAGACUAGAGUGUGGUAGGGGCAGAGGGAAUUCCCGGUGUAGCGGUGAAAUGCGUAGAUAUCGGGAAGAACACCAGUGGCGAAAGCGCUCUACUGGACCAUUACUGACACUGAGAGGCGAAAGCUAGGGUAGCAAAAGGGAUUAGAUACCCCUGUAGUC
Molecule: ribosomal RNA, 422 nt
Filed under: uncultured cyanobacterium
Lineage: Bacteria; Bacillati; Cyanobacteriota
Description: bacterial SSU rRNA
Rfam family: Bacterial small subunit ribosomal RNA
Source: RNAcentral